GUGCCAGCAGCCGCGGUAAUACCGGCAGCCCGAGUGAUGGCCGAUGUUAUUGGGCCUAAAGCGUCCGUAGCUGGCCAUGCAAGUCCACUGGGAAAUCCACCCGCCCAACGGGUGGGCGUCCGGUGGAAACUGUGUGGCUUGGGACCGGAAGGCGCGACGGGUACGUCCGGGGUAGGAGUGAAAUCCCGUAAUCCUGGACGGACCGCCGAUGGCGAAAGCACGUCGCGAAGACGGAUCCGACAGUGAGGGACGAAAGCUAGGGUCUCGAACCGGAUUAGAACCCUGGUAGUCC
Molecule: ribosomal RNA, 292 nt
Filed under: uncultured bacterium
Lineage: Bacteria
Description: partial 16S ribosomal RNA
Rfam family: Archaeal small subunit ribosomal RNA
Source: RNAcentral